AUGAUGCAGCCCAAAACCGUCCCCUCCUCCGAGAGGCGCACCCAUCGCGGCGGACAGGUCGCGCCGUACAGGUCUCCGGUGUAUAGGUUCAUGGCGUCCCGAUCGCGAUUCUCGAUGGAACCAGUGUCUGCAACGACGCGGCCAAGGACUGGCUCCUCCUUCAUGAGGCGCACGUCCCCGACAAAUAGGUCAAUAGUAAACAGUUUACAGGCGUACAGGCUUUGCACCAUGUUUCUUAGAGGAGACGGGGUGGCGGAAUCGGAGCUUAGUGACCACUCGGCCCGGGACUCACUUCCCCCUUCAUGGCGUACAGAUCUUUGGUCGAACCAGAGUUUGCAGCGACACAAUACAAGACCGGUCCCUCCUUCUAGAGGUGCACCUACCGUGGCGAACAGGUCCUUGGAGUACAGGUCCACGGCGUCGCCGGCGUACAGGUCACCCUUUGGUGUAGCACCAGCCCAAGGCGACGCGGCCUCUAAAAUGCCACCUUUUCCACGGCCUUGUCUACAUCAACGAGCUCGCAUUUUUGUCAUCUUCAAGCAACGCCGCCACCCGGCGACACUCAAAUCUACUCCGACUUCUACAUCAACACACUCCCCCAACCCCGUCCAAGCUCCGACGAGGCGAAGCCACUUCAUCGACAUGUCUCCUUCCGAUGAAGCUAUCCAUAUCUUGCCGGGCACCGACGAGGCGAAGGCAAGACACACCGUGUCUGACACCGACGAGGCGGACACCACCAGGCCGGGCACCGACGAGGCGGACACCACCAGGCCGGGCACCGACGAGGCGAAGGCAAGACACACCGUGUCUGACACCGACGAGGCGGACACCACCAGGCCGGGCACCGACGAGGCCAAGGCCGACCAUCUGUCUGAGCUGACGAGGCCAGACGUCUUCAUCAUCGGACAUCGACAAGCCGGAGGGAUGUGA
This 930-nucleotide ribosomal RNA is filed under the name Triticum aestivum (bread wheat). RNAcentral describes it as "partial small subunit ribosomal RNA". Lineage: Eukaryota; Viridiplantae; Streptophyta; Magnoliopsida; Poales; Poaceae. The record is from RNAcentral.